CCUACGGGCGGCAGCAGUAGGGAAUAUUGCUCAAUGGGGGAAACCCUGAAGCAGCAACGCCGCGUGGAGGAUGAAGGUUUUCGGAUUGUAAACUCCUUUUGUUAGAGAAGAUAAUGACGGUAUCUAACGAAUAAGCACCGGCUAACUCCGUGCCAGCAGCCGCGGGAAUACGGAGGGUGCAAGCGUUACUCGGAAUCACUGGGCGUAAAGAGCGCGUAGGCGGGAUAGCAAGUCAGAUGUGAAAUCCUAUGGCUUAACCAUAGAACUGCAUUUGAAACUGUUAUUCUAGAGUAUGGGAGAGGUAGGUGGAAUUCUUGGUGUAGGGGUAAAAUCCGUAGAGAUCAAGAGGAAUACUCAUUGCGAAGGCGACCUGCUAGAACAUAACUGACGCUGAUGCGCGAAAGCGUGGGGAGCAAACAUGAUUAGAUACCCGGGUAGUC
Molecule: ribosomal RNA, 440 nt
Filed under: uncultured bacterium
Lineage: Bacteria
Description: partial 16S ribosomal RNA
Rfam family: Bacterial small subunit ribosomal RNA
Source: RNAcentral